Molecule: ribosomal RNA, 253 nt
Filed under: uncultured bacterium
Lineage: Bacteria
Description: partial 16S ribosomal RNA
Rfam family: Bacterial small subunit ribosomal RNA
Source: RNAcentral
UACGUAGGUGACAAGCGUUGUCCGGAUUUACUGGGCGUAAAGAGCGCGCAGGCGGUCGAUCAAGUCGAGUGUGAAAGCCCCCGGCUCAACUGGGGAGGGUCAUUCGAUACUGAUCGACUCGAAGGCAGGAGAGGGUAGUGGAAUUCCCGGUGUAGUGGUGAAAUGCGUAGAUAUCAGGAAGAACACCAAUGGCGAAAGCAGCUCUCUGGGACGGUACUGACGCUGAGACGCGAAAGCGUGGGGAGCGAACAGG